CUAAUGUUUGGAUUGUUUGUAGAGCUGGGGUUUUGCCAUGUCGCCCAGGCUGCCUUUCUGGCCAUUCUACUGCCUACAUCCCUCCCUACGUCUCUUUUUCUGCCUGGGAAGCCGUUUCAUCUUUUUGAUUUCUGUCUCUUGGACACAUUCAGCUUAUUGGUUUUGACUGUUGUGUGCCAGGGGGAACAUGCUGCUAAUGGUUACCACCUGGGGCCUUGGAAGUUCCGACAGGUGAGGCUGCUUCCCCUCUGGGUCUUCCUGCCAUGAUAGGCUUCGAGAAGCUUCCGCGUUUCCCUAGCUCCUUCCCCAGCUUCUAGAACUGAGGGGGAGCAGGGGCUGGAGACUG
Molecule: long non-coding RNA, 346 nt
Organism: Cebus imitator (Panamanian white-faced capuchin)
Lineage: Eukaryota; Metazoa; Chordata; Mammalia; Primates; Cebidae
Exons: 3
Source: RefSeq, a predicted model, not a curated record